This 241-nucleotide ribosomal RNA is filed under the name uncultured bacterium. Its description in RNAcentral is "partial 16S ribosomal RNA". It matches the Rfam family "Bacterial small subunit ribosomal RNA", at positions 92 to 334 of the family's 1533-position model. The record is from RNAcentral.
CGACCGGCGCACGGGUGAGUAACGCGUAUGUAAUCUACCUGUAACAGAGGGAUAACCCGGAGAAAUCCGGACUAAUACCUCAUAGCACAUAUUAUUCGCAUGUAAUUUUAUGUUAAAGAGACUCGGUUACAGAUGAACAUGCGUUCCAUUAGCUAGUUGGCGGGGUACGGCCCACCAAGGCAACGAUGGGUAGGGGUUCUGAGAGGAAGGUCCCCCACACUGGUACUGAGACACGGACCAG